ACACGUGGAUAACCUACCUAUAAGACUGGGAUAACUUCGGGAAACCGGAGCUAAUACCGGAUGAUAUUUUGAACCGCAUGGUUCAAAAGUGAAAGACGGUCUUGCUGUCACUUAUAGAUGGAUCCGCGCUGCAUUAGCUAGUUGGUAAGGUAACGGCUUACCAAGGCAACGAUGCAUAGCCGACCUGAGAGGGUGAUCGGCCACACUGGAACUGAGACACGGUCCAGACUCCUACGGGAGGCAGCAGUAGGGAAUCUUCCGCAAUGGGCGAAAGCCUGACGGAGCAACGCCGCGUGAGUGAUGAAGGUCUUCGGAUCGUAAAACUCUGUUAUUAGGGAAGAACAUAUGUGUAAGUAACUGUGCACAUCUUGACGGUACCUAAUCAGAAAGCCACGGCUAACUACGUGCCAGCAGCCGCGGUAAUACGUAGGUGGCAAGCGUUAUCCGGAAUUAUUGGGCGUAAAGCGCGCGUAGGCGGUUUUUUAAGUCUGAUGUGAAAGCCCACGGCUCAACCGUGGAGGGUCAUUGGAAACUGGAAAACUUGAGUGCAGAAGAGGAAAGUGGAAUUCCAUGUGUAGCGGUGAAAUGCGCAGAGAUAUGGAGGAACACCAGUGGCGAAGGCGACUUUCUGGUCUGUAACUGACGCUGAUGUGCGAAAGCGUGGGGAUCAAACAGGAUUAGAUACCCUGGUAGUCCACGCCGUAAACGAUGAGUGCUAAGUGUUAGGGGGUUUCCGCCCCUUAGUGCUGCAGCUAACGCAUUAAGCACUCCGCCUGGGGAGUACGACCGCAAGGUUGAAACUCAAAGGAAUUGACGGGGACCCGCACAAGCGGUGGAGCAUGUGGUUUAAUUCGAAGCAACUCGAAGAUCCCCGUGCACCAGCGGGCCGG
RNAcentral lists this ribosomal RNA (890 nucleotides) under Mycobacteroides abscessus. Its description in RNAcentral is "bacterial SSU rRNA". It matches the Rfam family "Bacterial small subunit ribosomal RNA", at positions 113 to 993 of the family's 1533-position model. Lineage: Bacteria; Bacillati; Actinomycetota; Actinomycetes; Mycobacteriales; Mycobacteriaceae. The record is from RNAcentral.